RNAcentral lists this ribosomal RNA (404 nucleotides) under Bacillota bacterium. RNAcentral describes it as "Firmicutes bacterium partial 16S ribosomal RNA". It matches the Rfam family "Bacterial small subunit ribosomal RNA", at positions 355 to 776 of the family's 1533-position model. The record is from RNAcentral. Lineage: Bacteria; Bacillati; Bacillota.
UGGGGAAUAUUGGACAAUGGGCGAAAGCCUGAUCCAGCCAUGCCGCGUGAGUGAAGAAGGCCUUAGGGUUGUAAAGCUCUUUCAGCGGGGACGAUAAUGACGGUACCCGCAGAAGAAGCCCCGGCUAACUUCGUGCCAGCAGCCGCGGUAAUACGAAGGGGGCUAGCGUUGUUCGGAUUUACUGGGCGUAAAGCGCGCGUAGGCGGACAUUUAAGUCAGGGGUGAAAUCCCAGGGCUCAACCCUGGAACUGCCUUUGAUACUGACUGUCUGGAGUUCGGGAGAGGUGAGUGGAAUUCCGAGUGUAGAGGUGAAAUUCGUAGAUAUUCGGAGGAACACCAGAAGCGAAGGCGGCUCACUGGCCCGAUACUGACGCUGAGGCGCGAAAGCGUGGGGAGCAAACAGG